UAAAUCACUGUACAGAUAUAAGC
Molecule: non-coding RNA, 23 nt
Filed under: Arabidopsis thaliana (thale cress)
Lineage: Eukaryota; Viridiplantae; Streptophyta; Magnoliopsida; Brassicales; Brassicaceae
Source: RNAcentral